AAGUUCCAGAAUAAAGAGGGGAUCCAUUCAACAGCGGCAAACACUCUUCCCUCAACUCACCAAUGGCUAUCAUCUCCGAUUUCAACGAAGAAGAGCAGAAACCCACCCGCUCCUCGCAAUCCCAAUCCGCUUCAUCUUCUUCUUCUUCAUCCUUCACUGCCCCUUUCGACCGAUCAAACCCCAUAGCUUUCCUCCAGAAAGUAUUUGAAUUCGUCUCCGAACAGAGUGACUUUCUGGCCACGGAGGCAGCCGAGAAGCAGGUACUUUCGCUGGUUCGCGCUGCCGGAAAGAAGAGGAGAGACCAGCUCAAGGCCUCCGAAGAGAGGGAGAAGGCGGAGAAGAAGAAGAGGGAGGAACUCAAAGCCACGGAGGAGAGAAAAAAGGCCGAGAAGAGAUUGAAGGAGGAGAAGGAACACAAAGCGGAAGAAGACAGCGGCACCUCCAAAGGUAAACUAGCGGAAAUCGUUUCAUUCUCUUCCAAUGUGCGAUUAUUAUGUCUUGCCCUAAAAAUUCUUUAAUUGACGGUGUCGCUGAGAGCAAGGGCUUGCUUUGUUGGGAGUCAUGAGGGAAUGUAAUGUCCUUGUUUAAACAACAAUCUUUUGCUUGUAGGUCGUUUAUUUUUCUUCCGUUUAAUUUAGGUGUACAGUGGCAACGCAUAUAAUGACCAUUGCAUAUGAUAGGUAGUUUGUCAAUUUACGGUUUGCUUUAAUUUGGGGUCGAAAUGGGGGGUUAUGACGAGGGUACUGGAGAAGAGAAAAGACAUUCUGAGGUUAAAAUCAACUCAACUUUGGUCACUAAAAGUUAUUAUGCAAUAAAUGUAAAUCAUCUAUCUCUUUAUGUCAAACAUUUAUAUAUAUUUCAGGAUGAGUUUUUAAUUAGUGAUAGACCUAAUCAUGGUCCAAUUGCAACAAAUCAUAUUUUACCUUUAAGUUGAUCAACAUUAAUGUGUUCUGAUUCAUUACCAACUGGUUUGCAUUGUGAUCGACCGGGUACACUAAUGGUUUGUUAGAUGAUUCGACUUAUAGUUGACUGUCCGAUCUGUAGCUGACUGGAUAACCAUACAGCACAAUACCUAAAGACACAAUAUCUAGCAAUAGUGCAUGUAUUUGGCUUGUGUGGACAAUCCCAGGGAAGAAAACCAGAGGGAAGAUUUCACCCAUGGGCCAUGAGCCAAGAACAUGACACUAACUUCCACCCAAAAUUGAAUAGGGUUGUUGAUCUUUCUCAUUUAUAUGGUGUUGGACUUCCACUCACAUGUCAACUCCAACACCCCUCACCAAUGUCUUUAGGGGAUUAGUUGAGCAACCAUUGGAUAGAAAUUUUUUAUUAGGAGAUUUCAUUUGAAAUCAUGGUAGAGUAUGCUUUUGCACCUCCCAAUAUAAGAAUUUUCACUUUUGAUUGACAUUAUGUCUAGAGUUUGGCAUUUUAGAUAAAGGGUCUUGAUGGUUAAAUCUUCAGUGAAUAGAAAAUUUGUUAGGAAGAGAGAGGGCUAGCAUAAAAAUACGUGUUCCAUGCAUUCUAUCCUAUUGUUGCAUUGAUAGAGUACUUAUGGAUUAGAACUUUUUUGUGUGUGGGGUCAAAGGGGAGGUGAUUGUUUUCUUUGUAUGUGGCCUCAUUCAAAGGAUUUCUCUGUAUGUAGCCUCAUUCAAAGGGUUUAAGACUGGGUACUUCAAGGUUGGAAUCUUUGAGGCCGGUUGGAAGUGCUCUUUUAAUGCGGGCAAUCAACCUAUAUUCUUGUUCUACUAGACCUAAGGUCCUAAGAGGGUGACAUCUUGGCACAAAUCGACAAUGACAUUCAAUGAAGUGGCAACGCUGGAGAUUAUUGACCAGCUUCCUCAUUGUCUCCCUUCUGGAAGGCUCUUAUUGUGUCAUGGAUCUUUAACCCUUUGUGAUGAUGUGUUUAGUAAGUUGAUUUCGUUGUUCAUGAUUGAUUAUUGUUCGGUGUUAACUUGCUUCAUUUUUUGUUAAUUUUCAAAGAUCAUGGACCUCACAACUAUUCCAUCUAGUUUCGAACCUCGUCUUGAGAUUCAAAUAUCCUCGGGUAUCCACACUCUAACUCGAGAAUCCUAUGAUCUGUUCAUUGUAAGACACAAUGAGGUCCUCAAAUAUGUCCCCAUCUUUAGGAAUGUUUUCCAAUAUAAGAUAUUGGCCGAGUUGUCCUGGUCGGGGUUUGGAGCAUUGAAGUCCUCGUUCGUGAAUGAACUGUCUUCAACGCUCGUAUAUGCCUUUUGUGCGCUGAUGUUGAAGACCCUUCUCCAAUAAAUCAGCCUAAGAUUGUAUUGAUAUGCCCUCUAAGUGGGUGAUUCUACUUUUGCUUCGGCUCUUACGCUAGAGGGUUAUUUAUGAUUCUCGAAUUGUAGCAUGUACUCUCAAAACUACUUUUGCGAUGUGGGCUCCUCUCCUCCCACUCGGUCUUGACAUAUUUCUUGAGGUGAAUCGUUCGGAUCAACUCUUCUAUUUUAUCAAGGAAGAUGGUGCAUUCCUCCAUUGUGUUUCUUAUGUUCUUGUGAUAUAAACAAUGCUUAUUGCCAUCGACACCUCGAGGGAUAGCCUUAUUCCUUUGAGCUGGUAUUAACUCGGCAUUUAGAGCUUCUUCAAGUAUCAUUUCAUGAGGUGCGUUAGAAGGAGUGUAUAGAUGAAACCGUGGCCUCUUGGAAAACUCCUUGGAGCUAGUGUUGCUCCCUUUCCUGUGCUUUUUAUUGUUCGCCUUCUUAUUGCUCGAUGAAGCUUCCUGUCUGAUUUGUCGUUGGAAGUCCCACAUAUCUUCAACCUGCAUGAACUGAGCGACUCACUACCUUAGUUUGUCCAUGUCCUCUGCUAGCUUCAUAUAAAGUUUGUCAGCAAAGGCUUUAGGCCAUAAGGCCGUGAUCAUAUGGUGCAAGGCCACCUCGUGACUAAGGUUUUGGAUCUGCCUUGUCUUACCAUACUGCUCCAUGAACACCUGGAGUGACUCUUCCUCUUCUGCAUGAUAUUCACCAUGGCAAGAGAUGUUAGAUCAUGUGGCCAACUUGUAGCAAAAUGUGCCCCAAACUUAAAGCGUAUCGUGGCGAAGUUGUCGAUGGAGUUGGGUGGUAGGGAGUUGCACUGGCCAGUGUUUCCCUCGAGCGAGAUGGAGAAGGCCCUACAUCAAACGGGGUCACUUGAGGUGUAGAACGUCAUUUGGUUCAUGAACAUUCUGUGAUGUUUGUUAGGAUUGGUGGGCCUGUCAUACUUCUCAAAAGUUGGGAGGGUCGAUCUGUCCGGUAACGGGUCUCCAUUAUGUAUGGUGUGAAGGGAAGCAACUUGGUUGUGUUCAUAGUGAGCAUGGAUGGGUGAUCCCUACUGGCUCUCGUCCUGCCAUCAAGAGUGGUUCUACACAGGUCCUUGUGUGGCCUGGUCAGGGUGGGUUUAUGGUCCUGCCAUCAAGAGUGGUUCUACACAGGUCCUUGUGUGGCCUGGUCAGGGUGGGUUUAUGUAGGAGGCAAUGAACUCCUAGCAUUAGCAUUUUGUUCUUGACGCGUAGUUGUGCUCUCUACUCUAAGGGUUGCCAACUCCUCUUGAUAUCUGCACUACAUUUCCUCCAUAUGUCGUUGCAUACUUCUGAGCAUCUCAAUCUCAAUCUGAUUGGGUUGGUUGUUGGUCUCCUUUGUAGCUACGUUACUUGUCAUGUUUCUUGUGGCCACCAUAGGGUUAUAAUGUUGAUCACUCGGUCUCACGGUGGGUACCAAGGGUGUGGAGUUAAGGUCAACUAUCCGGGCUUUGUUGUGUCAUCCAAGGUCCAAUUAAUGAGGGGUCUCCUAUGUGUCCAAACCGAUCGGAUGGUAUUUGUAAAAGGUACUCUGAUGCUAAAGUCAGUUCAACUUUUAAUAUAUAGCAAUGAAUGUAAUAGUUAAUGCAUAUCACCUACCUUAUUGCCUUAAACUUUUAUUUAUAGGUUUUGUGGUGGGGUUUUGAUUAAUGUUGGCCUAAUUAUGGUCCAAUUGAUAGUAAUCAUACUAUAAUCUUAAGUUAAUCAGUUUUAAAGUUAAUCUACUCUAGUACCAUUCAUUCCAAUUAGUCUAAUUCAAGGAAUACAGUCUGAUUGGUGAUCACCCGAGCUUAGUGGCCUGCUUUUCGAGGUGGUGCUUUAGUAUUUGAGUUGGUGCAUGUCUUGUCGGCUUGUUUGGUGACCAACUAGGCUAACUAGUUUACUAUUCGAGCUUGUACUUGACCAUCCAAGCUGGUGCAUGGUCUGCGGACCGGUUUGGUGGUUGGUUGGACUUGCUAGUUUGCUUUCUAGUUGGGAUUUUAGGGGUUUGACCAUCUAGGAUGGUGUAUGGCCAGCUGACCUAUUUGGUAGUUGGCUAGGCUAGCUGGUUUGCUCUCUGAGUUGGGAUUGACCAUUUGGGCUGGUGUAUGGUCGGUUGGGCUCAGAGCUAGGGUUGACCAUCAAGGCUAUGGUUGGUUGUCUAGGUUGUGGUUUGUACAAGAACAAAUGGUGUUAUUGUAGUUCAACUGCUUGUUUAAUGUAUACAAGUGUUGACCUUCGAUGUUCAUUAAACACAUACCUGAUUUGCUGCUAAUAUUUUCUCGAUUUUUUUAAUUUUCAAUACUUAAUCAGUUCCAAACAAGGGUAAUGGACUGGAUCUAGAGCAUUACUCUUGGACUCAGACUCUUCAAGAAGUCAACGUGAAUGUUCCAGUGCCUAAUGGAACCAAAUCAAGGUUUGUCGUCUGUGAGAUAAAGAAGAACCAUCUAAAAGUUGGACUCAAAGGCCAACCUCCAAUUAUUGAGGUCAGUUUUUCCUUUUAAAGCAUUCAUUUGAUGGUAUGAUUACUUAGUUGAUAUUUAUUAUCUAUGUGCUAAUUUUAGUGAUGGCUAUGCUUAUAAAUGAAUUUAAAAAUUUCAGGGGGAGUUGUAUCGGUCUGUCAAGCCUGAUGAUUGUUAUUGGAGUAUAGGUACUGUACUACUUACAGCGAUUGAUGAACCUUUGAUGUUACAUUAUGUGUAUGCACGAGCUAAUAAUGUUGGGCGUGUGGUUUUGGAUCGUUUUUAUUGGUAUUGGAAUCAUGACCAUUUCGUAUCUUACACGUUACAUCAAACCCUUAUUUUCAGAGGAUCAAUGUGCACUUUCUAUUCUUUUGACCAAACAUGAUCAAAUGGAAUGGUGGAAAUGUCUAGUGAAAGGUGAUCCUGAAAUUGAUACUCAAAAGGUUGAACCUGAGAACAGCAAACUUUCUGAUCUAGAUCCAGAGACUCGUCAGACUGUUGAAAAAAUGAUGGUAAUCAUUGAUGAUAUUUACACUUACUGGUCAUAUUAGUUGCAGUUGUUUAGUCUCAGUUAUCAUCAUCAUUUCCUAAUAUGCUUUUGAUGUUUAGAAUCCACCUAUUCAUUUAUUGAUAAACUGUUAAAAGAUAAACCGUACAAAUUAUCUGGUGUUAUGUAUCUUGUAAUUUGAUGAAUAUAUCUUUAGUUAGUUGAAGUUUGUGAAACCAUAAUUUGUUAAGCCCUAGGAUCACAAGGCUGAAGAAUUGAUCUUUCUAGUAAGAUAUAUACAUCUCCGCAUUUUGCUUAGAUCUGAAAGACGUAUCCUUGCUAAUUGGAUUACAAUUCUCUUUUACGGUUUUGCAGUUUGACCAGAGGCAGAAGUCUAUGGGUCUUCCAACCAGUGAAGAGCUCCAGAAGCAGGAACUCAUGAAGAAAUUUAUGGCGGAGGUUAUUCUUUACUAACUUGUUGACUUCUCUUCGAUUCACUUUAUCAGUUGCUUUAAUGAUCUGUCUGUUUAUGUUUUGGCUAUUUUUUGCAGCAUCCGGAGAUGGACUUCUCAAGGGCUAAGAUAUCAUAAACGGUACAUUACUCUUGAUAUGUAUUUUUGGGUCUUGCUUCAUUGCGUACAAGCUGGUCCGGCCUUCUUAAUGUUAUAAUGUUUGUACCGUUGCAUAGUAUCUCGUAACCUAUUUUUGGGCU
Molecule: long non-coding RNA, 5927 nt
Filed under: Vigna radiata
Lineage: Eukaryota; Viridiplantae; Streptophyta; Magnoliopsida; Fabales; Fabaceae
Description: long non-coding RNA (VRAD_LNC010303)
Source: RNAcentral